This is a non-coding RNA of Podospora conica, 83 nucleotides long. The record is from the annotation of a GenBank genome assembly. Lineage: Eukaryota; Fungi; Ascomycota; Sordariomycetes; Sordariales; Podosporaceae.
GGGCGUGUGGCUCAGUUGGUAGAGCGUUCGCUUAGCAUAUUCUAGUAUGCGAAAGGUCCUGAGUUCGAUUCUUAGCUCGUCCA